Molecule: ribosomal RNA, 429 nt
Filed under: Gemmatimonadota bacterium
Lineage: Bacteria; Pseudomonadati; Gemmatimonadota
Description: Gemmatimonadetes bacterium partial 16S ribosomal RNA
Rfam family: Bacterial small subunit ribosomal RNA
Source: RNAcentral
UAGGGAAUCUUCGGCAAUGGACGAAAGUCUGACCGAGCAACGCCGCGUGAGUGAAGAAGGUUUUCGGAUCGUAAAACUCUGUUGUUAGAGAAGAACAAGGACGUUAGUAACUGAACGUCCCCUGACGGUAUCUAACCAGAAAGCCACGGCUAACUACGUGCCAGCAGCCGCGGUAAUACGUAGGUGGCAAGCGUUGUCCGGAUUUAUUGGGCGUAAAGCGAGCGCAGGCGGUUUCUUAAGUCUGAUGUGAAAGCCCCCGGCUCAACCGGGGAGGGUCAUUGGAAACUGGGAGACUUGAAGGCGGAAGAGGAGAGUGGAAUUCCAUGUGUAGCGGUGAAAUGCGUAGAUAUAUGGAGGAACACCAGUGGCGAAGGCGGCUCUCUGGUCUGUAACUGACGCUGAGGCUCGAAAGCGUGGGGAGCAAACAGG